CCCAGCACGAUGCCGCUUACCCCGCGUGCUGUCACACGGCUCCUACACGAGGCACUGCUGUGGUGCAGGCGCUUCUCAUCCUGCAGAGAAGGAAGCCAAGGCGCUCCCAGGGAGCAGGAGCGAGGGAUGCUGAUAAUCUCAGCGGCUCCGUUCUGACCGGUAAUGGAUCUGUUAACGUCUUCCCUGCAACGAGGAGAGACAGGUUUAUUUCUGUGCCUCUCAGGAGACAGGCUGGAGCUAUUAUAAGAGUUAUUAAGCUAUUAUACACAGGUAUUAAGGCUGAAAGAAGUCAGGUGUUAUGAGGGCGUAUGAAAGAGAAACCUCAGAGGUGCACAGGAGAUAGGCAGAAGAGGGGAAAUGGUGGUGAGACAUCCACGUGUGUGACCAGCCAACGCUACAGAAGAAAGCAGCACCUUUCAGAGCCGAAUUCAGAAGCAGUAGGCCAGCUCGGCAGCAAGUGUGAAAGGUGCAAGUCAAACACGGGGCCGCAGCCAUUCAUUCUUUUUUCUGACAUCUGUUGAGGGAAUGGGAGGAAGGGAAUUCAGCUGUACUCUAGCAGAAAAGAGAGGCUUUUUUUUGUUCUUUUGGUCCUGUGGAGCUGCACUCCCACCAGAUGCUGGUGAUCCUAAUGCCAGCUGCACAGAGCACAGCAUCUCUGAUUCCCCGGUGCUGGGCCCUUCAUAAGCCCCAGAGCGAGCCAAAUUCGCUGUACCUGUAAGAAAACCGAGGGCACGACAGGCUUGUUGCUGUUCUGUGGCUUGGCAGCGUGCUGGAUAGCGACAUCCCUGGCAGGGCCCGGCGUCGUGCUGCUGCAGUGCCGCUGAAGUGAAGGUGGUUGCUGCCCAUCUGGCCGGCGCUACGGCCCCAAUGUAGAUGACACAGCCUGUGCUUGGCUUUAUACUCUCCAGUUUUUCUUCUUUCUCAGGUGGGAAGACCCAGCGUUUCAGUGUGAGGGCACGCAGGUAGAUGAUAGGUUUCCUACAGAUGCUACUCGGGAAUAAAUAAGGCUUGUACAGACUUCCUAACUGCAGGGGAAGAUGCCUCCUGCACAAAGACUCCUUUUUGGCAAAACUUUGCAAUGCCUAAGGACUUAGAGGAAUUUUGUGUGGGCCGUGCAAAACUGCUCCUGCCUCCCAAAAGUGUCUCGUCUGUGCUGUGGAGGUCAUUCGGGUGCCUGCGCUACAGAAGCUGUGAGUGCUGCAGAGCCAGGAGCUCCCAAACCCUGCAGGAGGUAGCAAAGGGCUGCGGGGGGCUGGCGGUGCCUGUGUCUGCAGAGGGAUGCGCCUCCACAUCCCGAGCGUGUUUGUGCUGGGGUGCUCAGCCUGCAGGCAGUGAAAAUGGCUGAGGACGGGGAUGGACGGAGCAGACAGCCAGGCGGUGCACCUGCAGGGGUGGUCUAAACGGCCUGAUGUCCCCGUACGGAGGUGGGCAAACAUCUCCGGGGGGAGCCAGGACCUCCCUGCUGCCUGAGACAAUUUCUGACUCUGGAACCAAAUGGGAGAAAUUUCUUCUGAGAUUCUGAAAUAUUGUAGAGAGGGCUCGCUUUUCUUUUCCUUUACUUUUUUUCCUCCUGCCACUUCCACUUUCUAGCAGCAGCCACAACUGGAAGUACCAAAAAUCUGCAGCGAGCCUGCUUUCUCAGGCUCUGUCUUGAAAACCCAGGAAGUUUGAAGAGGCCUGAUAAUCACCCCUGGUUCCUUAUCAGCUUUCCCCCACCCAGGGGUCUCCCAGCACCCAGCGGAGGUGGCUGUGUGGCUCUGCCGACAUCACGGUGCCAGCUGGCUGCCGCAGCAGCGCUCACUGCAAUGGGAAAAAACAGCCUUCGUACUUUUGGUCCAGCCUUUGUGCUGGUUUUUCUAUUUUUGCUCUCCCAUUGAGUUUCCACAACAGAACUGUGCCCGUGCUGUGAAGACACCAAACUAUUCUCAUGAUUUUGUAUCAGAGAUAUGACAAUGUCACGGCAAUACUUAAGAUACCUUGCUGGUAUACCUGAAGUUGGACAAGGAAAAAUUGGGCUCUGUUUGUAGUGUGUUCCAUACUUUAUUUAGGUGGCUGAAUACCAAGGGUGACUUGUUAUUUUUCCCUCCUCUUUCUCCCCUCAUGUUAACCUGUUCUAUUUUUUUUGUUUGGUUGGUUUGUUUGUUUUGUGUUUUACUAGAUAUUACUUUUUGACACAGCGCUCCCAUUGCUAUGCAGAUGCUGCACAGGUCUAUUUAUCAUUUCCCACUCGCCGUGUUUCAGAAGUCUGUUCAGCAGCGCCGUGUCUUUCCUUGUUGCAAGCUUCAGUGCUCCACAAACUGCGGGGAGCGAGGAUAUCAAGUUGGGAGAGCUCUGAAGCAGGCGGUUGAACACGGUACUGCUGAGAAAGUGGCAUCUUCUGCAUCCAUGGGCAGGAAUUUCUUCAGCUAGACUCACCACCAACACGGAGUCCAAAAUAUUUGGCUGGAAUGAGUUCAGUUUUACAACUGGUGCCAUGGAUUUAUGUGUGAGCUUAGAAAUUUACUGCAUUCACUUUUCAAAUCAAGAGUGUUGGAGUUAAUGAGAAGAAGUGCUAAAUGACUUGCCCAAGGCUGCCUUGCGAGCCUGUGAGAGCCUGAACCCCAUUAAAAAUCGCCAGAUGCUCAGCAGGGUACGCUGCCCACGUCAUCGCGGCGACUUCUGAGGCAGGCAGGAUAAUCCACGGUGCGAGCAAUGUGGUGUGAAAUAAACACCCUACCAGCACAGCUACAAUUUAGUUUGCUUUAAUUUCCGCAAAUGGCUCUUCUCUUGGUGUCUGGAGGGGUUAAGAGGGAAGCGCUUCCCAUGGGAUGCAGCAGCUCUGGAGCUUCAGCUGGACCCGUCUGCAGUCACAGUGCUGCUCCAGGAACCAUCCCAGCUUUGCCAUCCAGCCUGUGAAGGUAGAGAGACCUAAUUGCUACUUGAGGAGUGUUUAAUAAACCGGGAAUGAUUACCUCCUGUUGGAUGUACGUGAUUAAGUGAAGUCACACUGUCCAGAGGUUGCCAAGCUUUUACCAUGUGACUUUGAAAACUUACUUGCUGAGGAAGGAAGGUUUCCAGGGGAAUUGAUAAUAAAGGAUGUAGUAGGUUUUUGGAAAGAAAACAACUUUUGCUGUGAAUACAGCAACCCUGAAACUUUUUGAGGAGAUAAACUGCUUUCUAAAAAUGUCCUGUAGCUCCCUUGCGUUUCCACAAUAACUUGCUCUGUGCUUGCCAUGGCCAUUGCUCUGUUUAACGCGGUAAUGGAGAGCUCAGGUGAAUAGCUGCAGCCUCUUCUUGCUGUAGCAGAAAAUGGGAGUCAGGCAGUGCUCAGACCUGCUUCUGAGUUGAAGUUUCAGGACUUUCUGUCUUUGUGUGCUUCUUCUCAGGUUCUCCGCUGAUGUUGUCCCCAAACACAUUAUUGUUGUGCCCGUAAACAUCACUGCAGUGAAGUUCUGGUAGCAAUUGCACAACGGGACUUUGUGCUCAGCAUACCCCUGUGAAUGCUGCUGAGUGACUGUUCCCACACAGAUUCCUGAAGCAAACAUUGCUGCUACAAUCUAAAAGAGCAAAAAUGUUUGGAAAACAGCAGAUGCAAUGGGAAAAUGACACUUCCUACAUGUGAUAACUACACAACCUUAACUCUGCCCUUGGAGUAUGUCUGCUUCUCGCCAUAUUGUUUGGAAACUUGCACAGAGUACGAAAAAGUCAUUUGAAGUCUUUGUCUGCACAAGCCAUGGUUCAAGAAGUGAGUGGAGGUGCCAGCAAGGGUUAAGGUACCUGCGUGUGGAUGUGGGGAACUGGGCACGGUGAGAGGAUUACAUGCAGCCCUUAAAUAUGGAGAGGUGACAGUCAGCACCACGUGGCUGCUCAGUGGGCACUGCUGGAGGGGGAUAAAACCUCUGCCUGUGAUCUCCAGAACACCUGUGAACUCCAGAUCGCUAACGCUUUAAAGCACAGGACAUGGUUAUGCUUUUGUCCUGUCAUGGUAAGAGCAUAUCCUGUCUUAAGUCCCUUACAUUGGUUUGCUUUUUAAGUAGCAUUUUGUUUUUUCAUUUUUUCCUUGUACUCUGCCAGGGGUUAAUUUUGUUCAGACUGUCUCCAUCCACUCCCUGCAGCCCCGCUCCUGCUCUCAUCCUCCUUUCGCAGGCUGCAGGCUCCUUCCUGACUGUGCUGUAUUUCUUGUCUGGGGUGAAGUCUGCUCCUCGCUGGCAGGAGCUAUCUGGGCUUUGUUGCCACUGAAAAAGUGGGAAAAUACAGUGGAAAAAAAAAUGCCUGUCCUCUGUGGCUUGCACGUGUGCAGCUACAAAGAGUUAAACCAACUUUUGUCUUUAUUCUUUGCUCUUUGUAAGUUGAGGGAAGGGGCAAAAAACAUGCUCUGUGCCAUGUCUGCUCUUGCUUGGAUUGUAACAACGUGAAUAUUUGGAACUUCCACAAACCAGGAGCCGCCCCAGUCCUUCUCCAGCCGUUCACUCAUGGCCCUUCAGCCCCACCUCCUCUCACACAGCUGCUGCAGGGGACACUGAGGGGUUGUGCAGCGAGGGUGACAAGGGCUCAUCCUCAACCUGCCACCCCCAGCCACCCCAGGAGCGUUUCUCCAGGCCCACGGGGCAGGCGUAGCGCAGGCCUGGGGCCGAGCUUCUGGGGAAGAGCCACUCUUUGCCGCCUCAGGAGUUUCGCAGACCUGCGGCUUGUGCUUUCUGGUGAAGCGUGCUUAUGGAUCUGCAAUGGAUCGAUAAGGAUGU
Molecule: long non-coding RNA, 4721 nt
Organism: Cygnus olor (mute swan)
Lineage: Eukaryota; Metazoa; Chordata; Aves; Anseriformes; Anatidae
Exons: 3
Source: RefSeq, a predicted model, not a curated record